AAAUCAAGUUGGAGGAUUGCCAUGUUCCCUCAAGGCUGCUUCUUCACACAAAAAGUGCUUUGGAUGACUUAUUUUCCUUUUUCAUUGAAUUGUGUUAAGAAGUUCCUUUCUUAUAUCAAUGGAGAGUAUCCGAACCCUAAAAGAUCUUCCAAUCUCGGAAAGAAAGUUGCAGAACUCAAAUUGUUCCCUGCACGUGGGCCUUCACAACACGAGCACUUCCAAG
This is a long non-coding RNA of Prunus persica (peach), 223 nucleotides long. RefSeq lists it as uncharacterized. NCBI's taxonomy places the organism in Eukaryota, Viridiplantae, Streptophyta, Magnoliopsida, Rosales, Rosaceae. The record is from RefSeq and is a predicted model, not a curated record. The transcript has 2 exons.